AGUCCAGUUUCUGUCUUCUGCCUGGUUCAACAACAAAAACUCCCAAAAAUGAAAUAAAGCUCCUUCAAGCUGGACUGGGAAGACGGACAAUUGGCAUAGCUGAUAAUGCUGAUCAUGAAUAGAUCACCAAAGCUCUUCAUGAUGAAUAUCCCAAAAUGAAGACCCUAACCGGAGGAUGGCUUUUGAAUAAAUCUGCAGGUGGUAAUGGACAGAGGAACUUGUCUGUUGUGGCUCAGGGAUCGCAGGGCUACACGUCUAAGAUGCUGAAGAUGGCCACCAGCAAUGGGAAGCACAUGCUUUACAUUGUUCCGCUCCAGGAAGAAAUUAAUACUACAC
This is a long non-coding RNA of Melanotaenia boesemani (Boeseman's rainbowfish), 336 nucleotides long. RefSeq lists it as uncharacterized. The record is from RefSeq and is a predicted model, not a curated record. The transcript has 3 exons. Lineage: Eukaryota; Metazoa; Chordata; Actinopteri; Atheriniformes; Melanotaeniidae.